Molecule: ribosomal RNA, 202 nt
Filed under: uncultured prokaryote
Description: partial 16S ribosomal RNA
Rfam family: Bacterial small subunit ribosomal RNA
Source: RNAcentral
UACGUAGGCAGCAAGCGUUGUUCGGAGUUACUGGGCGUAAAGAGUGCGUAGGCGGUUUUGCAAGUCUGUUGUGAAAUCUCCCGGCUUAACUGGGAGGGUGCGGUGGAAACUGCAAAGCUGGAGUGUGGGAAAGGUAGGCGGAAUUCCUGGUGUAGCGGUGGAAUGCGUAGAUAUCAGGAGGAACACCGGUGGUGUAGACGGC